UCCAACCCCAAGACGCCUAAUUCAGCAAUUGUAGAUGGCUGCGAAGAUCAACACAGAUACCACAACGGACCAUCCUAUGAUAUGCCAUCUACAGGGCAUGUGCAGUGACCUUGUGGCAAAUAUCAUGUCUCGUGUCGAUGGUUUAGCCUUGGCCUCCCUCGCUUGCACCUCUUCUGACCUCCGAGGCAUUGCUCGACACCACCGGCUGUGGGAAAAUCUAUGCCACUCCACAUGGCCUUCUACUGCGCAGGCACAGCAUCUCAUUUCGCCUUCACUCAUCCGCCAUUUCGAUCAAUUCUUCGCUGAUUCCUACCCAUUGAUAUUCUAUGACGAAGCUGCCAAACACAGCUCUCCUAAAGUGGAAACUAGCACUUCUCCUCCUGAUUUUGUGUCGCUCGUAGAUAUUUAUUACAAGAACCAAUGCGUCCUCUCCAGAGUUCUACACGGCAUACCUGAAGCUGUAGAUGUAUUGACCCCCAAACUCAUGGAUGACAACUGCUACAUGAUUUCCAGUGAACGCGCGCAAUGGUUUCUGAAUUGCCCAUUUAAUCUACAACUGCUGGACCUCACAUAUGAUGAGGAAGAUGAUGAUGAUCUUGGCUAUGCUGAUAUUGACAAUGACAAUCUUGGUCACACCAACAACAGUGAAAGAUCAACUCUGGAUGAAAAAUCAGAUAACUGCAAGGAGCUCAUGGAGGACCUCAGAUUGAGUUGGGUGCUGUUAGACAAGAAGACAGGCAAGGCAGUUAAUCUCUCAACCUGGAAGCCAUUUACAGCACAGACUAUCUGGCCACAUGGGGACUAUGUAAUGCAGUUUGGUAGCAUUAUACCCGUUGAAGAGAAAGUGCUGCCUCAAAAGCUAACCAGGUGCACAAUAACAACUAAAUUUAAGGUGACAGAAAUGCAUGGGAAUUUUCAGUGGAGGCAAAUCAGCAUGAGCGUUGAGAAUGUAACAGGCUCCCUGCUUGAUGGAAAGACGAGUUUGAUGAUUCUGAAAAAGGCACUAUACAGCAUGCGAAGCACAAAUUGGCUUAAGGUGGAAAAUGGCUUAAAUCAAUAUGAAAAACAAAAAAGAGGGAUAAUUAGGAGAAAGCAAUUGAAAGAAAAUUUGGCUAACAGGAUUUAUAUCUCGGUUGAGAUUGUAGUUUUUACACUUCUUCAUCAUAC
This 1167-nucleotide unclassified non-coding RNA is filed under the name Hevea brasiliensis (rubber tree). Lineage: Eukaryota; Viridiplantae; Streptophyta; Magnoliopsida; Malpighiales; Euphorbiaceae. The record is from RNAcentral.